GAUUUGUGCUCCCCCAGGCAGAAGUGAGUCAUAUUUUUUUUUCCAUUUGUGAAGGCUCAUAGGUAUGGAACAGAGGUGACAGGAGAAUCUACAUGACCUGUCUGAGAGGAAACACCCAGACAGGUCAAAGAAAUCUCAAAAAUUAAGCUGAAGGAGAUAUGCUGAGAGGUUUAGACUAAGGGUGAGUCGGCAAAGGUGUAUUCAAAUAUAUCUAUGUUUUGGUAAAAUGUCUUUGUUUAUAUGUACUUUAUGAAUGUUCAGUGCAGGACAGCUCUUCUAUGGGAACACAAAGAUGAUCCAGUCCCCCACAGAAGCCAGAUCACUGGCUGGCUGAUGACAUAAGUGACAAUUCAAACAAAGUAUUACCAAACCACAAUGUGUUUUUUUCCCUAUUACUGAUUUUUUGUGUGUGUGUUUGUUUUUGUAAUAAAGGUAAUUGAUGCAUACAUUCAUAUCCUUGCUGAAAAACAGCAGGCAAAUGCUGGAUGUAAAACUAUAUUGUUCUCAAUGCAUGUGUACUUAAUACACUAUACACUCAGUACACACGAACUAACACACACUUAAUGUUUUUUAACAGGAAUCCAUUCAUCAGCUCUGUGCUGUGGUAGCUGGAAGUUUGUUUUCCAGAAGAUUUCGGCCUCUUAGAAAAGCAAUCUUUUUGUUUGUUUUUAUCUAGCCAUAUCACCUAACACCAGUAACCUGAAUUAACAAUAAUUUGAUAUGAAACCCAUUCUUCAGAUGAAAUUUCCAGUGUUAAAAAGAUGGAUUUGUCCUGUAAAUGUAGGUGCUCACUGGAUUUUAGUGGUUUUCUUCUAUUUUCCUCAGACCUAUUUCUGAUAUAUAUAUGCAUUUCAGUUGACCUGAUGCAACAGAAGUAAAUUUUCAUAAAAGGCUUUGCUACACAAAUAUGUCAUAGUGUGAUGGAAUAACAAAUACAGUCAUCAUUUAUAGAUUGUCACCAUGUCACAGAGGACACUGCUACUUGUUGAUCCAGACAAGUAUAUUCUGUAUUUCGUAUGCUUGUUAUGCUUUUUAAACAAUAAUUAGGAAUUUCUUGAGGAUGGUGGGCCAUGAAGUCCAAGGAGAUAAAUGGACUUUAAAAACUGUUCACCACAACAAGCAGCAAGAUGCCAGUAGCUGUGGGAUUUAGGUGUUAAAGUUUGCAGAAGGGUUUCUCAACAAUGGAGACAUCGCAAGCAUCCAGACACAUCCUGCAGAGGUUUUAAAGGCUCAAUGGGAAGCAGCAUGUGCCCUCCUACAGGUGGGAGGUCUGUGGAAAGAAACAUGAAGCCACCACGGAUGGGAUAAAUACGGACACCGAAUUUCCCUCACAAGAUCAAAAUAGUGAAUAUAGUGUAUAUAUCAAAUAAAGUUGACUUGAUUUGA
This is a long non-coding RNA of Sphaeramia orbicularis (orbiculate cardinalfish), 1386 nucleotides long. RefSeq lists it as uncharacterized. The record is from RefSeq and is a predicted model, not a curated record. NCBI's taxonomy places the organism in Eukaryota, Metazoa, Chordata, Actinopteri, Kurtiformes, Apogonidae. The transcript has 3 exons.